GCCCAUAACAUUAUACAGCAGUUUCGUCUUGAUUUAAUUGGGAGUUGAGCAACUUUUCCAUAAACAAAAUUCUGAUGCUGACACAGAGGAUGGAGUGAUAAUACCAGAGAUCAACUGUCUCCAUCAGACAAUAAUGUUACUUUGUUCAGACAUAUCACCUUUGAAUGACUGGGAUCCUGAUCUUUAGACACCUGAUGUAUUUUAUUGUAAUAUUAUAAAAUAGCAAAUAUUUUAAUUUCUUUGGAGCUCUAGAUUAAAACAAACACAGUUUACAAGUACACAAGAGGUUGCAGUUUAUUCUUAUUAGUCUAUGCUGAUCAUGGAUUAGCAUACCAACAGCAUAUGAAUGGGAUAGUUCACCCAAAAAUAAAAUUCUCACUUAUUUUACUCACCCUCAUGCUGUCCCAGAUGCAUUUUACUUUCUUUCUACAGAUAAAUACGAAUUAAGAUUUUAAGGAAAGUAAUCCAUCUCUGCGAGUCCUAAAGAUGCUUUAAAAACCACACACAGUGACCGUGAUGUCCAUGCGACCUCAGUGGAUGAAUCAAUGCCUUCUGAAGUGAAACAAUAGGAUAAGAAAAA
This is a long non-coding RNA of Rhinichthys klamathensis goyatoka, 580 nucleotides long. RefSeq lists it as uncharacterized. NCBI's taxonomy places the organism in Eukaryota, Metazoa, Chordata, Actinopteri, Cypriniformes, Leuciscidae. The record is from RefSeq and is a predicted model, not a curated record. The transcript has 2 exons.